Molecule: long non-coding RNA, 284 nt
Organism: Phasianus colchicus (ring-necked pheasant)
Lineage: Eukaryota; Metazoa; Chordata; Aves; Galliformes; Phasianidae
Source: Ensembl
GGCUGCGGGGACACGGCCGCCCCAUAAGGCGGGGACCCCAUAACCUGGUGACCCCAUAAGGCAGGGACCCCAUUGGCCCCAUUGGCCCCACAACCCAUUGACCCCAUUGGCCCCAUAAGCCAGAGACCCAGUUGGCCCCAUUGGCCCCAUAAGCCAGGCCCCAUUGGCCCCAUAACCCAGGGACCCCAUUGGCCCCAUAAGCCAGAGACCCCAUUGGCCCCAUUGGCCCCAGAACCCACUGACCCCAUUGGCCCCAUUGGCCCCACAGCCCAUUGGCCCCAUUG